This 470-nucleotide ribosomal RNA is filed under the name uncultured bacterium. RNAcentral's name for it is "partial 16S ribosomal RNA". It matches the Rfam family "Bacterial small subunit ribosomal RNA", at positions 355 to 817 of the family's 1533-position model. The record is from RNAcentral.
UAGGGAAUCUUCCACAAUGGACGCAAGUCUGAUGGAGCAACGCCGCGUGAGUGAAGAAGGUCUUCGGAUCGUAAAGCUCUGUUGUUGGUGAAGAAGGAUAGAGGCAGUAACUGGUCUUUAUUUGACGGUAAUCAACCAGAAAGUCACGGCUAACUACGUGCCAGCAGCCGCGGUAAUACGUAGGUGGCAAGCGUUGUCCGGAUUUAUUGGGCGUAAAGCGAGCGCAGGCGGAAUGAUAAGUCUGAUGUGAAAGCCCACGGCUCAACCGUGGAACUGCAUCGGAAACUGUCAUUCUUGAGUGCAGAAGAGGAGAGUGGAACUCCAUGUGUAGCGGUGGAAUGCGUAGAUAUAUGGAAGAACACCAGUGGCGAAGGCGGCUCUCUGGUCUGCAACUGACGCUGAGGCUCGAAAGCAUGGGUAGCGAACAGGAUUAGAUACCCUGGUAGUCCAUGCCGUAAACGAUGAGCGCU